RNAcentral lists this non-coding RNA (51 nucleotides) under Pseudomonas aeruginosa. The record is from RNAcentral. Lineage: Bacteria; Pseudomonadati; Pseudomonadota; Gammaproteobacteria; Pseudomonadales; Pseudomonadaceae.
GCCGGGACGGUCUGCCGGACGUGGUGGUCCGGUACUGAUGAGCAGCCACCC